This 506-nucleotide ribosomal RNA is filed under the name uncultured bacterium. Its description in RNAcentral is "partial 16S ribosomal RNA". It matches the Rfam family "Bacterial small subunit ribosomal RNA", at positions 29 to 523 of the family's 1533-position model. The record is from RNAcentral.
AGUGAACGCUGGCGGUAGGCCUAACACAUGCAAGUCGAACGGCAGCACAGGAGAGCUUGCUCUCUGGGUGGCGAGUGGCGGACGGGUGAGGAAUACAUCGGAAUCUACUCUGUCGUGGGGGAUAACGUAGGGAGACCUACGCUAAUACCGCAUACGACCUACGGGUGAAAGCAGGGGAUCUUCGGACCUUGCGCGAUUGAAUGAGCCGAUGUCGGAUUAGCUAGUUGGCGGGGUAAAGGCCCACCAAGGCGACGAUCCGUAGCUGGUCUGAGAGGAUGAUCAGCCACACUGGAACUGGGACACGGUCCAGACUCCUACGGGAGGCAGCAGUGGGGAAUAUUGGACAAUGGGCGCAAGCCUGAUCCAGCCAUACCGCGUGGGUGAAGAAGGCCUUCGGGUUGUAAAGCCCUUUUGUUGGGAAAGAAAUCCAGCUGGCUAAUACCCGGUUGGGAUGACGGUACCCAAAGAAUAAGCACCGGCUAACUUCGUGCCAGCCGCCGCAGUAA